RNAcentral lists this unclassified non-coding RNA (1812 nucleotides) under Agrilus planipennis (emerald ash borer). Its description in RNAcentral is "alpha-(1,3)-fucosyltransferase C-like, transcript variant X4". The record is from RNAcentral. Lineage: Eukaryota; Metazoa; Arthropoda; Insecta; Coleoptera; Buprestidae.
UAUAAAAGUGCGGCAUUGCAAAAGUAUGUUAAUAUUGGUAUUAGUAUUUUUUAAGUAAUUAAAUUUUUUCCUCAAAAUAAAAAUGAAUUUCAAAGGGUACAUUGGAUAUAUAUUUCUUCUCACAUUUACUUAUAUAGUCAUUUACUUUAUUUACAUUCGAAACGAAGAGGAUGGUAUACAGAAGCCAAAUGCAUAUGCGAAAAUACUAAACAAACAAGUGACUGUUGAUAAUGUUUCAAAAGUGUCGAGUAUACAACAGAAUAAAACAAAAUUAACCAAAUAUAUUUUGUAUUGGACAAAGAUGUUUGGUCGUGAAGACUUUUAUUACGGUUUAGGAUACGAACCGUUUCAAAAAUGUGAAUAUAAGAACUGUUUUACUACAUCAAAUAAAAAUUAUAUGGAUAUCAGAAAUUAUAACGCAAUUAUGUUUCACGGUCCGUUAUACGACUUUAAAAAGAAUGGUAAGCCAUCGGCACGAUCUGACCACCAACGAUAUGUUUUUGCGAAUUUAGAAUCACCAGGAAAUUUUAAUAAAAACCUUAACUAUGCAAAUGGAUUUUACAACUGGACAAUGACUUACAGGAUGGAUUCCGACAUUCCGAAUCCUUACGGUUUUUAUGUUAAAUCAAAGAUAAAUUACACUGCACCUUCCAGAGAUCAAUUGAAAUCAAAAAAAAGUUUAAUCGCUUGGUUUGUGUCACAUUGCAAAGCUUCUAGCAAACGAGCAGAAUUGGUGAAGAGCAUAAUGCAAUAUACACCAGUCGAUAUAUAUGGCCACUGCGGCACUUUAAACUGCAGUCGAAAGAAUGGGCACUGUUAUACACUUCUUGAAAACAAUUAUAAAUUUUACUUAUCCUUUGAAAAUUCAUACUGCAAAGAUUAUGUGACGGAAAAAUUUUUUAACAUACAUAAUAUUUCAGUUGUUCCAGUAGUUUAUGGAAGGGCGAACUACAAAGAAAUUGCACCACCUCAUUCGUUUAUAAACAUCGAAGAUUUUUCAUCCGUAAAAGAACUGGUAAGUUAUUUGAAACAUUUGGACAGGAACGAUGACGAAUAUUUAGAGUAUUUUAAGUGGAAAACAGACUACUAUGUUGUCUCGUCUUUUACAUACUUUAUAUGUGAUUUGUGUAAAAAACUGAACAUCGACUUUACACCUAAAACAUAUCCUAACAUACAAAAGUGGUGGAAGGGUGAAAAAGAUACUGUUAUGUGUUAUAAUAAUGAUGCUUUACCCCAAAUUGUUUUGGAAAAUUCGAAUAAAAGUAUAGUUGAUAAAAUUCAAAAAAAUACAACAGUGUUAAACUAAUAAAUGAAAAUUAAAAAAUAAAAAUUUUAAAUCUAGAAAACGGUUUUAAAUUCCACACGUUACUAAAUUUAUCUACGCAUCUUCAGUUGUAUGUGAAAAGUAUUUUUAAGAAACAGAAAGAAAUAUAAAUUGUAAUUUGUAGAUUUGUAUUUAUUUGCACCAUACUUAAUUCUACGUUUUAUUUGUAUCUCUGAUUAAUUUUGAAAUCAAUUUUUUAUGGAACACUAUGAGAGUUUUGGGAUUGAAAGUAAACUCGUCGAGCUGAUAAAAUCUGUUAACUGAGAGACAGAAAAGUUACAUGAAAGAACCGUAUAAUCAUGAUCUGUUGUACUCAUCGGUUUACCUACUUUAUAAGUCAUAAACCGUAGAAAUCUAUGCCUAAUACCUUCAGCGACACAAUCCUGAAUAACUGUGAUGAUCUCCAUACAACUGAGCAAUAAUUUCUUGGAAUAAAAUUUGCGUUUAUGAUGGCAAACCGCAAGGAUGUGUGGAAAAUAACACCAAGG